AAAAACAAAAGAAGAAAAUUGAACCGUACUA
Molecule: small RNA, 31 nt
Filed under: Arabidopsis thaliana (thale cress)
Lineage: Eukaryota; Viridiplantae; Streptophyta; Magnoliopsida; Brassicales; Brassicaceae
Description: ATSL102610
Source: RNAcentral